RNAcentral lists this ribosomal RNA (29 nucleotides) under Vincetoxicum hirundinaria. Its description in RNAcentral is "partial 26S ribosomal RNA". Lineage: Eukaryota; Viridiplantae; Streptophyta; Magnoliopsida; Gentianales; Apocynaceae. RNAcentral also lists the same sequence under 12 other names. The record is from RNAcentral.
AUCGCAACGAUUGCGACCCCAGGUCAGGC